This 484-nucleotide ribosomal RNA is filed under the name uncultured bacterium. RNAcentral describes it as "partial 16S ribosomal RNA". It matches the Rfam family "Bacterial small subunit ribosomal RNA", at positions 30 to 507 of the family's 1533-position model. The record is from RNAcentral.
AUUGAACGCUGGCGGCAGGCCUAACACAUGCAAGUCGAGCGGAUGAAGGGAGCUUGCUCCUGGAUUCAGCGGCGGACGGGUGAGUAAUGCCUAGGAAUCUGCCUGGUAGUGGGGGAUAACGUCCGGAAACGGGCGCUAAUACCGCAUACGUCCUGAGGGAGAAAGUGGGGGAUCUUCGGACCUCACGCUAUCAGAUGAGCCUAGGUCGGAUUAGCUAGUUGGUGGGGUAAAGGCCUACCAAGGCGACGAUCCGUAACUGGUCUGAGAGGAUGAUCAGUCAUACUGGAACUGGGACACGGUCCAGACUCCUACGGGAGGCAGCAGUGGGGAAUAUUGGACAAUGGGCGAAAGCCUGAUCCAGCCAUGCCGCGUGUGUGAAGAAGGUCUUCGGAUUGUAAAGCACUUUAAGUUGGGAGGAAGGGCAGUAAGUUAAUACCUUGCUGUUUUGACGUUACCAACAGAAUAAGCACCGGCUAACUUCGUG